GGACGAUAAUGACGGUACUUUAGGAGGAAGCUCCGGCUAACUAUGUGCCAGCAGCCGCGGUAAUACAUAGGGAGCGAGCGUUGUCCGGAAUUACUGGGUGUAAAGGGAGUGUAGGCGGGACGGCAAGUCAGAUGUGAAAUGUAGGGGCUCAACCCCUGAACUGCAUUUGAAACUGUUGUUCUUGAGUGAAGUAGAGGUAGACGGAAUUCCUAGUGUAGCGGUGAAAUGCGUAGAUAUUAGGAGGAACAUCAGUGGCGAAGGCGGUCUACUGGGCUUUUACUGACGCUGAGGCUCGAAAGCGUGGGGAGCAAACAGGAUUAGAUACCCUGGUAGUCCACGCCGUAAACGAUGAUUACUAGGUGUGGGGGGAUUGAACCUUCCGUGCCGGAGUUAACACAAUAAGUAAUCCACCUGGGGAGUACGACCGCAAGGUUGAAACUCAAAGGAAUUGACGGGGGCCCGCACAAGCAGUGGAGUAUGUGGUUUAAUUCGAGGCAACGCGAAGAACCUUACCAGGUCUUGACAUCGAGUGAAUAAUCUAGAGAUAGGUUAGUCUUUCGGGACACGAAGACAGGUGGUGCAUGGUUGUCGUCAGCUCGUGACGUGAGAUGUUGGGUUAAGUCCCGCAACGAGCGCAACCCUUAUCUGUUAGUUGCUACGCAAGAGCACUCUAGCAGGACUGCCGUUGAUAAAACGGAGGAAGGUGGGGACGACGUCAAAUCAUCAUGCCCCUUAUGAGCCUGGGCUACACACGUACUACAAUGGCAAUCAAACAGAGGGAAGCAAGAUAGUGAUAUUGAGCAAAUCCCAAAAAAUUGUCCCAGUUCGGAUUGC
RNAcentral lists this ribosomal RNA (834 nucleotides) under uncultured bacterium. RNAcentral's name for it is "bacterial SSU rRNA". It matches the Rfam family "Bacterial small subunit ribosomal RNA", at positions 461 to 1301 of the family's 1533-position model. The record is from RNAcentral.